GACGAACGCUGGCGGCGUGCCUAGUACAUGCAAGUAGAACGCUGAAGGAGGAGCUUGCUCUUCUGGAUGAGUUGCGAACGGGUGAGUAACGCGUAGGUAACCUGCCUGGUAGCGGGGGAUAACUAUUGGAAACGAUAGCUAAUACCGCAUAAGAGUAGAUGUUGCAUGACAUUUACUUAAAAGGUGCAAUUGCAUCACUACCAGAUGGACCUGCGUUGGAUUAGCUAGUUGGUGGGGUAACGGCUUACCAAGGCGACGAUACAUCGCCGACCUGAGAGGGUGGUCGGCCACACUGGGACUGAGACACGGCCCAGACUCCUACGGGGAGCAGCAGUAGGGAAUCUUCGGCAAUGGGCGGAAAUCUUACCGAGCAACGCCGCGUGAGUGAAGAAGGUUUUCGGGUCGUAAAGCUCUGUUGUAAGGGAAGAACGAGUGUGAGAGUGGAAAGUGCACACUGUGACGGUAUCUUACCAGAAAGCGACGGCUAACUACGUG
RNAcentral lists this ribosomal RNA (495 nucleotides) under uncultured bacterium. Its description in RNAcentral is "partial 16S ribosomal RNA". It matches the Rfam family "Bacterial small subunit ribosomal RNA", at positions 28 to 507 of the family's 1533-position model. The record is from RNAcentral.